Molecule: ribosomal RNA, 200 nt
Filed under: uncultured bacterium
Lineage: Bacteria
Description: partial 16S ribosomal RNA
Rfam family: Bacterial small subunit ribosomal RNA
Source: RNAcentral
CACGUAGGAUCCAAGCGUUAUCCGGAUUUACUGGGCGUAAAGCGCGUGCAGGUGGUUUGGAAAGUUGGGUGUUAAAGCUCUCGGCUCAACCGGGAGUUGUCGCUCAAAACUAGCAGACUAGAGGAUGGUAGAGGGAGGUGGAAUUCCGGGUGUAGUGGUGAAAUGCGUAGAUAUCCGGAGGAACACCAGUGGCGAAGGCG